Patiria miniata (bat star) is the source of this 1424-nucleotide RNA transcript. RefSeq lists it as uncharacterized. The record is from RefSeq and is a predicted model, not a curated record. Lineage: Eukaryota; Metazoa; Echinodermata; Asteroidea; Valvatida; Asterinidae. The transcript is spliced from 5 exons.
GUUUACACCGAACGUUAGUUUUUCCCCUUGACAUUUCCCCCCAGAAUUUAUUUAUGUGAUUAUUCAAGGCAAAGGAGUUGUUGAAUAUGGCUAUUCAUGUGGCGCAUCCAUCAGUGCGAAUGAAAGGCGCUGAGGCAGACUGGACGCCCAUACAAUGCACAGACAGGGAGUGUAGCCACUCCUUGAUGAAGGCUCCGCAUCUGCACUGUCCAUUCUGCUCCCAGGAAAGUCUCUUCACUGAUGAGAUUCUCCUCAAGGCACACUACAGGGUCAAGCACGUGGAUAAAGGCAUCAACUUUGGGGUAUGUCAACCAGAUCUUCACCACAUACACCGACCCAGCACCCAACAGUACCAGCCUGGUAACACACCUCAUAGUCCCCCAGUCACAGCAGCCAUCGGAGACAGACACAUCAUCCCCGGGGCUUUGAGCAGACUGACGGGCAGCAGUACCAGUACGCCUGCAUCAAUGAUCCGAGCCAGAGCACUGCCAAUGGGGAAGGUAAGAUGUUGUCCUUAUUGAGAUACCAGACGAGGGAAGCAAAGGGGAUUUGGAGGACGAGACUUGCUACACAGAGCACAACUUGUCGCUGCUGCUGCAGGAGAAGGAAAGUCUGGAGAAGACUCUUGAGGAGGAGCAGACCACGUUGGCCCAGACAGAGCACAGGAUGAAAGGCACUAUAGAAAGGCUUCGUACAAAGGUUGAGUAUUUGUCCAACACAAACAUGUCACUCAAGCAGCAGCUGUCCAUGAUUCACAAGUCCAGUUUGAAACAUCUAACCAACAACAGCUAGAACCAGUCCAUUUUGCAAGAGUUACUGCAACACAUGUCUGAGGAGCACACCCAGCUGCUGCACCACCAUCUAGCACAGCUACGGCUGUACACUCAGGCCUGCGCAUUAUCCAAAUCAGCCCCCGAGGAAUCUGCAGCUGAAUCUACAGUCUUGGUACCAGACCUGGCUGACCAAUCACAGGACAUCUCACACAUGGCCAUGAUGUCGUCCUCGGAGGGCACCCUUGGGAACAUGGAGCAGACAGUCGUCAUGACGAUAACGUCUGAGGAGGAUUCGGAGCCGCUCGGCAACAUCGUGGAUAACCCCGGAGAUACUGUGGGACAUGACUCCUUGACUUUGGAUAAGGACGUUCACUUGUCACCAAAUGACAUUCUGUACCAACUGACAAGCGAGGGACUGUCACCAAGACAUGCCACCUCUGAGUCGGGUCACGUUUAUCAAUCAGGUAGAACUCAUUCACAUCACAACACAGGCUGUGAUGUCACGCAACAGGAUUUUCACAAGAACAAAAGUUGAAAAUUGGUUCUUUCCAACAGCAUGCCAAAUGAGGGACCACCAUUAAAAUGUGGGAGAACUAACAGCCUGAAAGCCACUUAACUAAAUAAAACCGGACAUAUUUUGUAAACAGUGUA